This 224-nucleotide ribosomal RNA is filed under the name uncultured bacterium. Its description in RNAcentral is "partial 16S ribosomal RNA". It matches the Rfam family "Bacterial small subunit ribosomal RNA", at positions 323 to 543 of the family's 1533-position model. The record is from RNAcentral.
GAAACUGCCCAGACACCUACGGGUGGCUGCAGUCGAGAAUCUUCGUCAAUGGGCGAAAGCCUGAACGAGCGACGCCGCGUGCGGGAUGAAGGCCNUUGGGUUGUAAACCGCUGUCGAGGGGGAUGAAGGCANNCAGGUCCUCCNNNANGUUUGACAGAGCCCUGGAGGAAGCACGGGCUAAGUUCGUGCCAGCAGCCGCGGUAAUACGAACUGUGCGAACGUUA